RNAcentral lists this ribosomal RNA (370 nucleotides) under uncultured bacterium. RNAcentral describes it as "bacterial SSU rRNA". It matches the Rfam family "Bacterial small subunit ribosomal RNA", at positions 527 to 896 of the family's 1533-position model. The record is from RNAcentral.
GAAGGGGGCGAGCGUUGUUCGGAUUUACUGGGCGUAAAGGGCGCGCAGGCGGCUAUUUUUGUCAGGCGUGAAAGCCCCGGGCUUAACCUGGGAACAGCGCUUGAGACGGGAUGGCUAGAGAUCGGGAGAGGAGAGUGGAAUUCCCAGUGUAGAGGUGAAAUUCGUAGAUAUUGGGAAGAACACCGGUGGCGAAGGCGGCUCUCUGGACCGAUACUGACGCUGAGGCGCGAAAGCGUGGGGAGCAAACAGGAUUAGAUACCCUGGUAGUCCACGCUGUAAACGAUGUGUGCUAGACGUUGGGGAGCCUAGCUCUUCGGUGUCGCAGCUAACGCUUUAAGCACACCGCCUGGGGAGUACGGCCGCAAGGUUA